GCUGAUCGUUGCCAUGGAGAUGGUAUAAGUGCAAUUAUCGCCUUCAGUAACUGCACACGGUUGGAAAGGGGAAGGCAGGCCUUAUGCUCGAUGGAACCACAGUUUUCUGAGUCUAUGCUUCUACGCAGCACCCUCAGGUUUGCGGUGAUAUCAAUAGUAACAGAUAUUGAUAAACGCAUGCCCAGACUGCACAGUUUCCCAGUUUGCAUCAGCUCUUGGAGGAGAGACCGGGAGUAAGACGGACGUGCUGGGGGUGCUCUGGUCCAUCACCUUGAGUGGUCCUGAGCUGCAAGUCGAGGAGGUCGGAGUGGAUCGCAGGGUGAAGAAAGACGGUCCCGGGUAUUUGAGCUCCACCUGUGUGCACGAAGAAAUUGAACUUUGAUAAGACUGGUGCCUUUUUCUUUUCCUUUUAUAUUGUAUCUCUAUAAA
Mobula hypostoma (lesser devil ray) is the source of this 429-nucleotide long non-coding RNA. RefSeq lists it as uncharacterized. The transcript has 3 exons. The record is from RefSeq and is a predicted model, not a curated record. Lineage: Eukaryota; Metazoa; Chordata; Chondrichthyes; Myliobatiformes; Myliobatidae.